GUUGGUAAGGCGGGUCCGCGGACCCCAGGUCGAGCCCAGCGGCAGUGCAGGAUCGCAAGCGGCCCGGCACCGGCGCCGCAGGUUACAAAAACCUGAGACUUCCAUUUUGCUGGAAACUUCUUUUCCUCUUGCACACUCACUCUGCGACUCUGUGUGGAGAGCUCCAUGUGACAAGGGAGGUCUGCAGCCUAAGCAACUGAGACCUCAGCCCAACAGCCCUCAAAGAACUGGAUCUUCAAACAACCACAUGAGUGACCUAGAAGCAAAUCUGUCACCAGUGCUCUUGAGACGGAGAAAAGAUCAUGAUCUAAGAGUCUACAAGACCAGAGCAGCCUGAAUUGCUGAGCUGCCUGGUGGAGAAUAGCAGCAUUGGGUGGUUCCCAGGAUUCUUAAAAGGACUUUACAAAGGCCUGGCCUAAUCACUUAAGAGCUCUUAAGGAGUGAAUGGGCUCUUCCUGAAAAAAGAGCUUCUG
Long non-coding RNA from Homo sapiens (human), 473 nucleotides. Ensembl annotates it as TMX4 antisense RNA 1. Its record names the gene TMX4-AS1. NCBI's taxonomy places the organism in Eukaryota, Metazoa, Chordata, Mammalia, Primates, Hominidae. The record is from Ensembl.